GCUGAAGCGCGUGUGCGUCAGACGACGUCGACGCGAUUCGAACACACGAACCGGGAAAAGAACGGUCCUCCGUUUAUAGAUCGACCGAGUCCAGGACAACAGGACUAUAAUUCGCGGACAGGGGUUACAUUUUAUUUCCGCUUACCGGUCGUUUUUUCUCUCCCGACAACGUAAUCUGUCCAAAGAGAAGACCGCGAGAGAGGAUUCCUCAUUCUGGGCGUUCUUGUCCUUGAUCUUCUCGAGCAAAAGCUAUAUCUCGGGUUUCAGAAGGAGCCGCUCAAAAUGCAACCCGCCAGAGACGGAACUUUCUACGAAAGGGAUAGAGCGAGUGUUGGCCGCAUCGUGGAACCAAGGUCGUAACUGGCGAUGGUAUCUCGAUGACUGUGGGUGGUCUAUAAGACUCGGCUUACCGUUCGUUUCUCGUGCGACAAACAUUCCA
Non-coding RNA from Nomia melanderi (Alkali bee), 439 nucleotides. The record is from RefSeq and is a predicted model, not a curated record. Lineage: Eukaryota; Metazoa; Arthropoda; Insecta; Hymenoptera; Halictidae.